Non-coding RNA from Podarcis lilfordi (Lilford's wall lizard), 2122 nucleotides. Lineage: Eukaryota; Metazoa; Chordata; Lepidosauria; Squamata; Lacertidae. The record is from the annotation of a GenBank genome assembly.
UCCGGUCAGCGCCAGCAGCAAUGGCGGACCUCCUUUGAGUUUCGGAGGGGGUAGCUCAGCGGGAGAUCAGGUCCUGUGCGCUUCGGCGAAGCGGGGACCCUCAGAAAUCGCAGGCGCGGACGCCUGCGAACGUGGAGGCUCGGCGGGCACCUUGGAGCGCCCCCCCAACCCGAAAGGAAGCCUUUUUUUGAGGCUUCAGAAGGGAGCGGGGGAGAAGCGCGGUGCUGCGAGCGGAUCGCUGCUUUCACUGAGCGAAGCCGUGUUGCCGUUGCUGGAGAGCGCUGACUUAUUCCUGGGACAUUUGGACUUAAAAUUUAACCGUGAGUAGAAGAAUUGGAUAAAAGAGCAUUAUUUGGAUUAAUUGGACUAUUUGUGAAAAAGCGGAAAAGUUUUAAGCCGUUUAAAAACGUCUGAAUUGGCUACCGCGGUGGAAGCGUAAACAGGAAGUCCGCUUCCCUGCACUGUAUAUGGAAUAAAGCAUAGAGAUUUGGAGCUAAACGUGGGAAAACUGAACUGAAAUAAGUGUUUCUUUCUGACCUGAGAACUUUGGAGGGAUCUACCCUUUGGAGGGAUAAGGGAAAGACUCUUGAUUCUACCGGACUGUUUAAAUUGAAGGAUUUAAUGAGUGACCUGUCAGUGGGACGUCUCAGCUGUCAAAGCUGUUAAAGCUGCUUGUUGGUUGCAAAGGAGAUACACUGUGGCCAACUUCAUUGGGAAAAGAUUGGAAAGGACUGGAAAGCUACACUGUGUUCUCUAUUCUUGCCUUUCUACUUAGUAUCUUUCUCCUGUUAUUUCAAAAGGACAGUAACUUGCUAGGUGGUAACAGUGUCCAUCUAGUGGGACUCCCUGCAAUUACAGGAAAGGAAAGGAAUUUUCCACUUAUAAACAGGAACAUCAGACGUGGGAAAGGAAUUUGACCUUCACUUUGUUAUGGCUGAUGGUCAAAAAGACCAGUCAACUUUGAGAUCAGGGAAACCUUGGACACAUAGAAGGCAAUCAUCUGCUGGUUUGCCCGCAUCGGCAAUACAAUCUAAGUCUGGUGGAAUGUCUGAGGAACUUUUAGCCAGUGCUCUGACUAAGAUUAAUGAAUCAAUACAGCAAUUAAGUACAAAAGUGGGGGAGACGAAUAGGAAGGUGGAAGAGACGAACCAGAAAGUGGAUAUUGCAAACAGGAAAAUUGAUUUAAACACAGAAACAUUAGGCAAUUUGGAGAAAAAAGUAAACAGCAAUACGGAAUCUAUUCAGAAACUACUGCAAGACUCAAAGUCUAUACAGGAAAAAACUGCUGCUGUAGAAUUUAAAUUGGGGCAAUUGGAAACUGAAAAAGUACCAGACUUGCAGAAAGAGAUUGCAGAACAUAAGUUAACGUUGUCUAUGAUUGACCUUAAAGACAAACAAACGAAUCUUAGAAUUAGAGCUGUUCCUGAGUUGGAGAAAGGUACCUUGAUAGACUUUUUGACACAAGAAUUUUUGGACUUUUGGAAAUCGGAAUUGAAACAAGAGGAUUUUAAGAUUGUGAGGGCUUUUCGACUGGGGAAAGGAGGAAGAAAGAUCAAAAUAAGGGACUGUUUGAUCACCCUCCGAUCCAAAGAAGAAAGGGACAAAAUUUUGGGCUUGCAUUACGAAAAACCUUUGACAAUCAUACAAUCAAAAGUGGAAAUCUUCAAAGAUAUACCAAAACAUCUUCUUGAUUUAAGAAAGGACUUUGGAGAUUUGGUGGACUUGUUGAGAAAAAAUAAAAUCCUUUUUAGGUGGGGAUUUCCCCAAGGUCUAUCCUUUAGCUUCAAAGGAAGAAAGACCAAGAUUAGAUCAGUGGAGGAAAAGAACAAGUUUCUGAGUGCAUACGAAGAAAAUCUACAGAAAGGAUUGGGAAAAGACAUUGCGAUACCGGAUAAGGGUCUGCAAAAAAAAGUGAAACCAACGCCACCGACAGAUAUAGACAAUCUUCUUGGGGCUGUUGGAGGAGAAGGAGAGUAACUACAAAAUGACACUACAAAUUUUAAGCUGGAAUAUUAACGGUCUAAAUUCAUCGGCAAAAAGGGGGAGAGUAUUUCAUACAUUGAAAAAAGAACAUUUGGACUUGAUUUGCCUACAAGAGACUCAUGUGACAAGGCUACAUCGG